UGAGUUUGAUCCUGGCUCAGAUUGAACGCUGGCGGAAUGCUUUACACAUGCAAGUCGAACGGCAGCACGGGAGCUUGCUCCUGGUGGCGAGUGGCGAACGGGUGAGUAAUAUAUCGGAACGUACCCAGACGUGGGGGAUAACUAGUCGAGAGAUUAGCUAAUACCGCAUACGUCCUGAGGGAGAAAGCGGGGGAUCGCAAGACCUCGCGCGUUUGGAGCGGCCGAUAUCUGAUUAGCUAGAUGGUGAGGUAAAGGCUCACCAUGGCGACGAUCAGUAGCUGGUCUGAGAGGAUGAUCAGCCACACUGGAACUGAGACACGGUCCAGACUCCUACGGGAGGCAGCAGUGGGGAAUUUUGGACAAUGGGCGAAAGCCUGAUCCAGCCAUUCCGCGUGAGUGAAGAAGGCCUUCGGGUUGUAAAGCUCUUUCGGCAGGAACGAAACGGUGAGAGCUAAUAUCUCAUUACUAAUGACGGUACCUGAAGAAGAAGCACCGGCUAACUACGUGCCAGCAGCCGCGGUAAUACGUAGGGUGCGAGCGUUAAUCGGAAUUACUGGGCGUAAAGCGUGCGCAGGCGGUGACUCAAGUCAGAUGUGAAAGCCCCGGGCUUAACCUGGGAACGGCAUUUGAAACUAGGUCGCUAGAGUAUGGCAGAGGGGGGUAGAAUUCCACGUGUAGCAGUGAAAUGCGUAGAGAUGUGGAGGAAUACCGAUGGCGAAGGCAGCCCCCUGGGUCAAUAC
This 740-nucleotide ribosomal RNA is filed under the name uncultured bacterium. RNAcentral describes it as "bacterial SSU rRNA". It matches the Rfam family "Bacterial small subunit ribosomal RNA", at positions 1 to 740 of the family's 1533-position model. The record is from RNAcentral.